RNAcentral lists this ribosomal RNA (255 nucleotides) under Triticum aestivum (bread wheat). RNAcentral describes it as "partial small subunit ribosomal RNA". Lineage: Eukaryota; Viridiplantae; Streptophyta; Magnoliopsida; Poales; Poaceae. The record is from RNAcentral.
AUGAAUGUCAACCCAGUGGUGACUUGUUGGAACGUUCGUGGUUUGAACAGUCCGGCAAAGAGGAAAGCGGUGAAAGAGUUUCUGGCUUCGGUGAAGCCUAAUCUUGUGUGUUUGCAGGAGACAAAACUGGAUGUUGUAGGCAAUUUUCUCUUAAUGCAAUGUUGUGGUCCGUCUUUGGACGGCUUUGCUUACUUUCCAGCGGAUGAUACGAGAGGAGGGAUCAUACUUGCUUGGGAUACAACGGUUCUGCAGGUA